Molecule: unclassified non-coding RNA, 194 nt
Filed under: uncultured Herpotrichiellaceae
Lineage: Eukaryota; Fungi; Ascomycota; Eurotiomycetes; Chaetothyriales; Herpotrichiellaceae
Description: sequence contains ITS1
Source: RNAcentral
AAGAGUUAGGGUCUUCUCGGCCCGACCUCCCAACCCUUUGUUUACUUAACUAUCGUUGCUUCGGCGAGCCCGUCAUUUCUUAUGACCGCCGGAGGGCCGUAAUAAGCUCUCUGGUCCGUGCUCGUCGAUGGCCAACCAUUUUUAAACGCUUAAAUAAACGUGUCUUUAUCUGAGUACUAUAUUUAAUAAAAGCA